This 403-nucleotide ribosomal RNA is filed under the name bacterium. RNAcentral's name for it is "partial 16S ribosomal RNA". It matches the Rfam family "Bacterial small subunit ribosomal RNA", at positions 355 to 776 of the family's 1533-position model. The record is from RNAcentral.
UGGGGAAUAUUGCACAAUGGGGGAAACCCUGAUGCAGCGACGCCGCGUGAACGAAGAAGGUAUUCGUAUCGUAAAGUUCUGUCCUAUGGGAAGAUAAUGACAGUACCAUAGAAGAAAGCUCCGGCUAAAUACGUGCCAGCAGCCGCGGUAAUACGUAUGGAGCGAGCGUUGUCCGGAAUUAUUGGGCGUAAAGGGUACGCAGGCGGUUUAAUAAGUCGAAUGUUAAAGAUCGGGGCUCAACCCCGCAAAGCAUUGGAAACUGAUAAACUUGAGUAGUGGAGAGGAAAGUGGAAUUCCUAGUGUAGUGGUGAAAUACGUAGAUAUUAGGAGGAAUACCAGUAGCGAAGGCGAGUUUCUGGACACAAACUGACGCUGAGGUACGAAAGCGUGGGGAGCAAACAGG